GAGAGUGAUUCUGUGAACUGAAGGUGAUAGUUAUGGCGCCUACGUUGCGUAGUACUGCUACUGUUCCCAGAAAGAGGCGGGAAUUUCAAUUUUCACCAACUGUUUCCAACAACUUUGAUUACUUACGAUUUUUGAGCAACACGAGAAAAAAAAGGUUUUGUAAAGAGCGCACCAAAAAUUUGUCAAAAACGAAAAAUGAGUGUGAUCUUGAACAGAAGAUUGACUUUGAAAUGAAGAUGAGAGAAGGUAUUAUCAAGCUAUUGGCUGUAUCUAGACAUUCAAUUCAGACUUUGGAAGCUUCCAAAUCUCUAUUAACUUGUACUGAAAGAAUUAAAGCAUACAUGGCAGAACAAGAACAUCAGUCUCUACAAAGUGGAUCUGUGAGGCAGGCAAUGAAAAGUAAGGGCAGAGUUUCUGUAUCAGAUAUCCGAAUGCCACUGAUAUGGAAAGAUAGUGAUCACUUCAAGAAUAAAGGAGAUUACAGAAGGUUUGGUGUCUUCUGUCUACUUAAAAUUGGAAGCAAGAUAGCUGAUACAGAAGUAGUUUGGAAUGUUGAUCGUAAUAUGACGGAUAUCUCCUUUGGCAGUGUGUCAGUUUUCAAUCAGAUUUCUUCUGACUUUGAGGUUAGGUUAGAGGUGUAUAGUCAUAUGCUUCACAAUGAUUUGAGUAUUGCAAGCACCCCAUGCAAGAUUAAGAGGAAGAUAACCAGAUCUAUCAGUCGAACUGUAGGUAGAAAGCUAGCAAUUUCUUUGAAUGAUAAACGUACUAAUGGAGAAAAGAUACAAAACUUGAGACACGGCUAUCCCAUUUUAUCAACCCAUUUUGUUUUAAAAUAGUAAAUUUCACUGAAGAAGUUGUGCUAGCUGCAGAUUCAGUCCAGCACCAUUCUCAAUGGAUUUCACACAUUGUGCAACACAUCAAAGAACAUGAACUAUGGGGGUACUUGGCAGAGUCUGUAAUGAAAAUUUCUUCUCCUUCUUCACUUGUUUUCAGGCAGCAAUCUCUUUAUGAGGAAACAUAAAUCAAAGAUUCUCCUCUUUAUGUAGCAGCUAGUGAAGGUUACAUUUAUCAUUGACCUAGUGGCAAGCUGUUAACCCUUUACAAACCAGACAUCCUAUCUGCUACAAUCUGCCAUAACCAUUUCUUAUCUAUAACAGAGUAUGAACUAUGAGCAUUUUUUUUUUUUUUAGGUUUAUGCAUCAGAGUUAAAUUCCUUCUACUAAUAAUUGGUAAUAUGAAAGAUGAAAACCUAAAAAAAGGCUAUAGUAAGUUACUUAUAAGCUUCAUAGAAAGAACUGAUCUUUGUAACAACUAAUCUCAUAAGUGAUUUGAAUGCCUUCCUGAAGAAAAUUAAGACUUUAUAAGCUUCUUAGAAAAGCAAUAAUCACUUGAGAUCUGAAAAUUCUUUAGAUAAAUAGCUUAAAAAAAUAUGAUGUAAAUUAUAACAUCAGCAUUUUGUGAGGUAAAAUGAUUGUGUUUGAUACUAGUUAAUAUUUACAAUAGCAAGUUGUAUCAGGAGUUUAGUUUGAAGAAUAUUUGUUAUAAAAUAGAUGAAAGCCUCACUAAGCAUUCAGAUGAUUGUGAUUUUUUAAAAUUUAAAUUAUUUUGUACUUGUACAACUUGAAAUUAAUACCUUUACUGAAACUCUUGUACACUCUAUAACUUGUUGCUUUUUCCUUGAUUAUUAUGUUUAAGUUGCACCAUCAGCCUUAAAUUGGAAUUAUCAUGUUAAAAGUCUUUUAUAUUUUGUUACUUAAAGUUUACUUGCAAGAUUAUAUGUAACUUGGAAGCUCAACUGGCAAACUGUGGAUUGUCAUAUGUGUGUAACUUUAUAGUUAACUGUUCUCCUUGAAAUGUUGAAUUAAAUGAUGACUUAUAUGUAA
Molecule: RNA transcript, 1883 nt
Organism: Limulus polyphemus (Atlantic horseshoe crab)
Lineage: Eukaryota; Metazoa; Arthropoda; Merostomata; Xiphosura; Limulidae
Gene name: rhotekin-2-like
Exons: 9
Source: RefSeq, a predicted model, not a curated record